UACGUAGGGGGCGAGCGUUGUCCGGAUUUAUUGGGCGUAAAGAGCUCGUAGGCGGUUGGGUAAGUCGGGUGUGAAAACUCAGGGCUCAACUCUGAGACGCCACUCGAUACUGCCCUGACUCGAGUCCGGUAGGGGAGCGUGGAAUUCCCGGUGUAGCGGUGAAAUGCGCAGAUAUCGGGAGGAACACCAGUGGCGAAGGCGGCGCUCUGGGCCGAUACUGACGCUGAGGAGCGAAAGCGUGGGGAGCGAACAGG
Molecule: ribosomal RNA, 254 nt
Filed under: uncultured bacterium
Lineage: Bacteria
Description: partial 16S ribosomal RNA
Rfam family: Bacterial small subunit ribosomal RNA
Source: RNAcentral